GCGAACGCUGGCGGCAGGCCUAACACAUGCAAGUCGAGCGGCCGUAGCAAUACGGCAGCGGCAGACGGGAUAGUAACACGUGGGAACGCGCCCUUCGGUUCGGAAUAACUCAGGGAAACUUGAGCUAAUACCGGAUACGCCCUUACGGGGAAAGAUUUAUCGCCGAUGGAUGAACCCGCGUCCGAUUAGCUUGUUGGUGAGGUAAUGGCUCACCAAGGCUUCGAUCGGUAGCUGGUCUGAGAGGAUGACCAGCCACACUGGGACUGAGACACGGCCCAGACUCCUACGGGAGGCAGCAGUGGGGAAUAUUGGACAAUGGGCGCAAGCCUGAUCCAGCAAUGCCGCGUGAAUGAUGAAGGCCUUAGGGUUGUAAAGUUCUUUCGCUCGUGACGAUGAUGACGGUAACGAGAGAAGAAGCCCCGGCUAACUUCGU
Molecule: ribosomal RNA, 433 nt
Filed under: uncultured bacterium
Lineage: Bacteria
Description: bacterial SSU rRNA
Rfam family: Bacterial small subunit ribosomal RNA
Source: RNAcentral